RNAcentral lists this transfer RNA (67 nucleotides) under Marmota monax (woodchuck). Its description in RNAcentral is "tRNA.Ala". It matches the Rfam family "tRNA". From Rfam's summary of the family: Transfer RNA (tRNA) molecules are approximately 80 nucleotides in length. Their secondary structure includes four short double-helical elements and three loops (D, anti-codon, and T loops). The record is from RNAcentral. Lineage: Eukaryota; Metazoa; Chordata; Mammalia; Rodentia; Sciuridae.
UUGUGGCUCAGUGGUAGAGCACUUGCCUGGCAUGUGUGAGGCCCUGGGUUUGAUCCCAGUAUAUAAA